GGUAAAAUUGGUUUGAUUUUGUAGUUUAUGUUUAAGUACAACAUUAAAAAUAUGCCUUUUAUCCAGCUAUAAAAUGUACUUUGCAUAAUUUUUGAAGCAUGAAAAAGACACACAUAACUGAGGAGACAACCUUUACAGACAUCUGAUCACAAUCAAAGCUGGCAAAUAGGAAGGACCUUCUUGUUUACCUAUAAGAAUAAAAUUCUUCAAACAAUUUCUCUGGAGUUCAUUCACAAAGUAUUCCUCCUGGUAGAUAUUGAGGAGUACAUGACAUAACUUUUAGAAUAAAAAUAAACAAAAGAAAACCACAUCAUAGGUUUAGGGUGAGCAGUGAGAAGAUAGUACUGAAUUAAGCUAAAUUAGAUUUACUAGAGUGUCAGACAUAAAUACAGUUUUGUGUUUACUGUUAGUGGAGACAGCGUCUAUUUUAAACAGAGGAUGGUGUAUUUUAACAUUGCUAUACAUAUAUUUCGGAGGCACAAAUACAGACAUAGAAAAAAGUUUCAUCUUACUGAUAUGUGAGAGUUUCUGUAUGUCAUAUUUAAGAAAAACUUUAAUAUUGCCUAGUGAGCAUUAUAUUACAUUCAUAUUUUGUUGACUGUAUUCCUUCACACUUCAGAAACUUCAACAAGACCUGGUAUCUGGUAAAGAAACUGAGGCCGUCUAACAUCCAGCUCUGUAAAUAUGAGACUACUGGGGAAAGAAAGAGAUUUGUAAGAGAGAAAAAGAAACACAAAGCGAAAAGGAAUGCUCAAGUCAAAAACAGUCUGAAAUCUGCCUAUUUGGGGGUGAUGAUGCACUCGCCAUCAGCUAUUUAACCUCAGAACAGUUUUAUAAAUGGAGUAAAUUACGACAAUGGUCUACAGACACCUUCGCUGCUCAUCCUGCAUUUUCUUUAGCACUGAUUAACAGCAGUCUUGUAUUUUUAUGUCUAUAUCUGUAAUUACGAAAUUUCUACAUUGCUCACCAAAAUGAAAAGCUGGGUAGACUCUUAGUAUGGGUGUGGUGGUGCCCACCAGGCUUCUUUUUCACUCCCACCACCUUCAACAGGACACAGGGAGAAAACACAAUGGAAAAGCUUGUGUGCUGAGACAAAGGCAGGGAAAUCAUUCACCAGUUACAGUCAUGGGCAAAACAGGCUUUAUUUAGGGAAAUUAAUUGAUUGACAAUUUUUUGUAACAGAGCAGGACAGUGAAAAAUAAGAACACAACUAAAACCACCUUCUACCUCUCCCUGCCAUGCUUCUUCCCAGGUUCAGCUUCACACCUUACUCUUCUAUCUCUCCCUCCUUGCUUCAUCUAUUGCUUCAUCUAUUCCAUUUCUUCCUCCUCAUGUACUUCUCCAGCCCCAGCACUGGGUCCUUCUCACAGGAUACAGUCUUUCGUCAAUUGCUUCAGUGCGGGUCCUUCCCAUGGCCUGCAACUGCUCCAGUAUGGGUCCCCCAUAGGACACAGUUCCUGCCAGAAAAUCUGCUCCUGCAUGGACUCCUCCGUACAGGCUGAAGAGAGAGAAAUCAAAUUUUCAGUAAGAGGCCUUUGAAGAAGGAUGUGUUGAUGUUUUUGAAUGUUUUAAUUCUUCUACUUGAUGGGGAAGAUGUUUGUCUCAGUAAUAUUUGUUGCAGCAGAUUGCCUUGCAAUUAUUAAUAAAGGUUAGAAUUAUAAGAUUAAUAUUGCAUGUACAAUGACAGUAAGCAUUUCUGCUUUUAGAAAUUGAAGGAUUUAGAUAAUGUAUGCUCCCAUGCCACUAUUAGUACAGAUUCAAACUACUCUGAUCUACUGUGAUUGUUAAAUAGUGAAUAUAGAAAGCAAAGAAUGAGCUACAAAUCAGUUGUAAUUUAGGAUACUGUACUGGCUUGGGCUGGAAUAGAGUUAAUUUUUUUCGUAGUAGUUUUUAGAAUACUAUGUUUUGGCUUUGUGACAAAACAGUUUUGAUAACACAGGGGUGUUUUAGCUAUUGCUAAACAGUGCUUGCACAGCAUCAAGACCUUUUUUGUUUCUCACUUCAAUCCACAAUCAAGCAGGCUGGGACUGCACAAGAGGUUGGGAGGCAACACGGCUGGAAUAGGUGACCCCAAAUGACAAAAGAGGUGUCCCAUGCAAUAAUGUCGUGCUCUGCAGCAAAAACUGGGGAAAAGAAGGAGGAAGUGGGGGUGUUGUGGAGUUAUGGCAAUUGUCUUCUCAAGUAACCAUUUGCAUGAUGAAACCCCGAUUUCCUGGAGAUGGCUGAACACCACCUGCCUGCUAUUAGGAAGCAGUGAAUGAAUCCCUUUGCUUUGCUUGAGUGUGCAGCUUUUGCUUUCCCUAUUAAAAUGUCUUAAUAUCAACCUGUGAGUUUUCUCAUCUUACAUGUCUGAGUCGCUCCCCCAUCCCGGUGGGUGGGAAUGAGUGGCUGUGUGGUGCUUAGCUGCCUACUGGCGUUAUCACACGACAGAUACAAAACACAAAGUACACCCACAUAGCCUAUUCAAAUACAUACAUAUAUGUAAAAACCUUCUUGUUUCUAAUGACCACUGUAAAAGAUUAACUAUUUAAGUAAUCAGAAGUUAAGCAGAUUUUAUCUGAAGAUCUCUUUGCCUAACAUUUGUUUUUCACUUAACUUUCCUUCUUAACUUUCAACCAAAACUUUAUUAUUUAGCAAGAUAGUAUCAGCUUUAAUGGAUUCCUGCUCAAAAAUUUUGGAAGUCAUUGUUGUAUAAAGAUAUCUGAAAGUAUAAUCCUAUAUAAACAAAGAUUUCUAAAAGAGAAGUAAUGAUGAAUUAAAAUAUCUGGGUAUUCUAACUUGCAAAAUGGUGUGUAAAAUAUCCAGGAGAGUAAAACUUUUAUUUUAAAAACAACAAUUGAAAUAAAGGCAUACUGGAAGAAGAACAAUAACAAAACAAACUAACAAAUCACCCCCAACCCCCCAAAACAACAAACAAAAGCAAAACCUGGUCCCUGCUUUAUGUACUUCAGGAGAUAUCUCAUGUUAUGGACUACACCAAUCAUAGUGUGUACUCGAGCACUUCCGUAUGGUGGUUGAGGGUAUGUACAGGUUAACCUUUCAUGGGUUUAGCACGAGGUAAUGGCUUGUUAUGUCUUAGAUAUCAUUAAGUUCUAGUCCUCUGGACGGAGAAUGUGGUGGGGAGGUUAUUGCUCGUCUACAUAUAUGCCUUAAUACAUGCAUAUAUUAAUGGAUCGUUUGAGGAUUAUGGGGAUGUAUAACUAGGAAAUAGAUAAUAUGCCUGGGUACACGUUCCUGUGUUUUAUGACUACACUACAUAUGGUUUUUAAUACGUAUGGGGGUCAUGAAUAUGGUAAAUAAAUUGAUGCACUGUAGUAUGUAGGACACAAGUGCAACAACAACAACAACAACAAAAUGCCCCAAAAAGACCGAAACAAGCUCAAAACAAAAUCACAAUGUGUUAUAGAACUCUAAAUGGCAAAUGAAAACCUAGGAAGAAAAAUAAAUAUGUUUUUAAUUAAAUAAAAGCACUUGUAAAAUUGGGCUAGUUUUGAAUUUUAUUAUCUGUAAAUAUGCAUACUUGAAAUUUACACUAAAGAAAUAUAAAUCUGAAGAAACUUUCAUACUGAACCAAUAUCUUCACUGACAGAUGGUGUCUGAUAAAAGAAUAUGCCCCAAAGAUUAAUUUCAAUUAAUUUUUCAGACUUCUGGCAUACUGAAAUGAGAGAAUACCUUCUCAGAAUUUAAACAAGAUCUAUGACAAAAUCUUAUACAGUUCCAAUACAAAACAUCGUGCGCAAAUGUUUCCCCACACUUAUACAUUAUAAGUGUUCUACAUUUAAUGCUUUGAUUUUUAAAAGGAACAUGUCACAGAACACUUUUGUUUUGGUUCAGAUACUAGAAGACUUUAUCAUAUAGGUUGCAAGAUAAGCUCAGAUCAGUGAUUGUCACUGCCUGUUGAGUACCAGUGCUUAUUAGUCACUUCUAAUUCAUGGUAAAAUGUAAAUGUAACAUCGUAUUUUCUGUAUUUGGGCUGUCAGCACUAUGUAAGUUUUUUUCUAGAAUAAUUAAACUGAGUUUUGUAAUUCAGUAAUUCAUUUUUAUGUUUCAGUACAUAAUUUACAACUAAUUAGUUAUGGAAGAAACUCACUUAUUCCACCUUUCGUGGAAGAAGAUCAUGUUAAGGAGCACUUGGAAAAGCUGGACAAACAUAAGUGCACGGGGCCUGAUGGGGUACAUGGGGCAUGAUGGGAUGCACCCACAACUGCUAAGGAAGUUGGCUGAUGCUACUGUGAAGCCACUUUCAGUUAUCUUUGGUAGGUCACGGUGGUUGGAAGAGUGUCCUGAAGACUAGAAGAAAGAAAAUGUCACUCUUGCCACUCUUCAAGAAAGGCAGGACGUGGAAUCUACAGAAGUGGUGUGGGGUUUUUUGCCUUUUUUGUUUGUUUGUUUGUAAGAUUUUUGUUUGUUUCAUUUUGUUUUGUUUUGUUUUACUAUUUUCAUUAUUUCUUAUUUCUAUUCAUUUCUUUGAAGUUGGAAGUUAUUGAACAGAUAAAAAGGAAUAUUCGGUUUUGAAAAUAUCAAAGUAGCAUACCUCUUUUUUAAACUUCUUAUUGAGGAGCUGAAGAUGAGAACUCUGUGAAAAUGGAUCCUUCUUCAUACUUUGUUUCAGCUGAAAUAAGCUACAAUAAACCCAAGGAAUUCUUGUGACAUAUAUUAUUUCGUAGAACAAUCCCUCUUGGUAAUUCCUGAGAUCUAGGUGAUCCAUGUUUAGUCACCACCUUUUAUGACAUUCUCAAACCAUACAACAGACUUAUACAGUGUGGUCACCUACCUGAAUCACCUUGUUUUUAGCACAACACAAUAGAGAAGGCUAUAUAUUGCUUCCUCUUACAAAUAAGCCCCUAUUAAUACAUACAUUAAUUUACAUUAAUUUUCAACAAUAUAUCUUUUUUCCAUUUCUGGCCUAAUUACUUUAUUGUUUCUGGAAAUCCAUUAGCUCUGAUGCAAUUGUAUUCACAGAAUCCCUGAAGUUGGAUGAUACGACUGGGGAUCCUCUCAUUUAGCUCCCAUGCUCAAGCAAGGUCAGCUAUAGCAAGCUGCUAAAUUUAAGUGGAAUUUCCUGGUUUUCAAUUCACACUCAUUACUGAGGGCACUACUGAGGAAUGUCUGGAUCUGUCUACUUCUUACAAGCAUUCUCUUCUCUAGGCUAAAUAGUCCCAGCUCAGUCAGCCCCUCCUCAUAUGAAAUAUGCUACAGACUCUUAAUCGUCUUCAUGGUUAUCAUCUUCUCGGUCAUGUUAUGUCCAGGAUGUCAAUGUCUAUAUGUCUGUCUCUCUUGGAUGACUUUGUUGCUCUUUUUUUUAACAGUAAGAUAAUCCUUUGUUAUAUCUUCUGUACUGACUCAUUUAUUAAGGUCAUGCAUUGUUUUAUGUUGGCUAACUCUAGUUUACAUGACAUAUUUUUACUCUGAGGUUUAAAGAGACUGAUUUAUUGAGCGAAAGAGCCACCAAUCAGGCAAUUUUAUGAGAUCACUCUUCUGUUUGUUUCAUGGUAUUAGUAUUUGCUCAAUAGUCACUAAUUUUUCACAUGUGUCUGUAAACAGGGACAUGAAAACAGUUGUAGUGAACAUAUUUUAAGAUGCAUGCCAAUACACACAGAAGAAAGCACUGAGUAUGUGCCCAGAUCUAUUCCUCUGUGAUUUCCUAGCCAGACUGAAAGAUGAUGAUGCAUUCCAUGUAAGGACCACCAUAUUUUUGCAUUGCUCCCAGUGCCCCUUAGGAAGAAAAUGUAACUCACGGAGACUGAUCUCUUUCCUCUUGGACAGAGUCUAUUUCAACAGAUCUGUGUAUAGUACACAUUUUAAUUUUGGGGUAACUAUUCUACCAAGUAGUUAGGAACAGUGGAAUUAAAGUGAUGUUCAUAUAAUAAAGUAUUUUGACAAGUGGGAAGAGAGUAAAUAGGAUCUCUUUUGACUCCAGACUUUUAAUUUUUUUUCCAGUGGCUUCUGAAUAACAUGUGAAGAGUGUAUUUAAUACCUCAUACAGAUGCCCUUUGAGAUAUGACCAAAUUAGUUUUGUAUGAUUUAAUAUCAACUAGCUCUUCUCUAUAUUUAGCUGUGAAGUGCUUAAAAUGUUCCUUUUUAAAUCUAGUGCAUUGUCUCUUGGAAACAUUAUGAUGCUUUGGCUUAUGGUGAAUAAUCCAGUAUAAUGAGAGUUGUCUGACUGAAGUCGGCUCAUUUGCAAAAUGCCUUUCAUCACAGUCUAUUCCAGUCCUUACAGUCCUCAAACUUUCAUUAUCUUCUCCACAUCUUUAAUUUUAGGGCAUUUCAGCAUGCCUAAAGGAGUUCAGUUGAUUUAACAGUCUUCUUAUUAAUGUUUACUGUUUUACAGAGCUUAGCAUUAUUGUAAAUCUCAGGCACUUAGUGUGAGAGUUACAAUUAUUUUAGCUACUUUUUUUUUCCUAUAAGUCUUUGUGCUGGUAUUAUAAGAAAUGAAUUGUUAAAAGGAACAGGUGACCAAAAAAGGUAAGGAAGGAGAAAGAAAAGCUUGAAGAAUCAGUUAAUGGACAUGAUUUCAGUUUAACAAGAUUACAUUAGCAUUAUUCAAGAAAAUGGGAAAGUGAGACUUUGAAGGUUUUUUUUGGGUGUCUUAGUCUAACAGAAGAUAGCUUUCAUAUGAUUCAGAAAGGAUUUAUAACCUGCUUGAGCAAUAAAAAUUGUGUCACAAAGACCUGAUUCAUAAAAAUUCUCAAUAUGAGUAAACCAGGAAAAAUUAAAUUGAUCAAAAAGUGAAGCCUUACCAAGGAUGGUGAUGUGAAUAGUGGCUUCCUUAAUGAGCAAUGAAGUGACUGAAAAUUUACCACAAUCCAACUUUCUUAUUGUAACAUAAUUUAAGUUAUAAUGCAAAGCUGAUCUCAUGCAAAAAAUUUUAAAGACUACUGUCCAGCAUGACUCAUAGCCACUAUAUUUUUUUCAGACAUACUCUUACUUGCCACAGACCAGUGAAGAGGUUUUAAUCUCUUUAGUUUAUCCUUUGCCCUGUGUCUGGAUGACCUUAAUUCAAAGGCUGGUUCUGCUAUCAGAUCUACAGUGAGGCUGUAUGAAUGGUAUAACAAAUAAAUAUCCAAUCUUCGCUAAAUAGUAGUCCAUCUAAUGGCUUAUUUUUACUACAGUUUCUCUGACUGAAGUUAAUGGUUUUAGAAUAAGGAGAGGAAAAGAAGACACCAGCAGAAUUUCAGUUAUAGAACUCAUUUUAGUGUAAAGUUGAGAUGAAGAGAGAAAACACUGAGAGACAAUUUGGAAGCCUACAAUAUAAAGUAACAAAUUUAUGCGAGCUGGAACAUCACAAGAGCAGAUAUUCCUGUGUUAGGCUUUUGGGGUGCAAACACUGCUACAUGCAAUGAAAUUAAGGACCUUGUCAAUGAGCUGACGUAUGGAAUAUACAUUAUAUGAAAUUAUAUUUAAUUGUAUUUUAUUUCUAAAUUACAGUGUGAUCCCAAACUGUUCCUAAAAAAGAUUGUAAAUACAAUUAUAGAAUCACAAAAUAUCUCAAAUUGGAAGGGACUUAUAGGGAUCAUCAAGUCCAACUUGCUGCUCCUUGUAGCACUACCUAGAAAUAAACCAUAUAACUAAGAGCAUUGUCUGUAUGCUCCUGGAACUGUGACAGGCUUGGUGGAGUGACCACUUCCUGGGGAGCCUGUUCCAGUGACCAGCCACCCUCUCAGUGAAGAACAUUUUCCUAAUGUCCAAUCUGAACUUCCCCUGAUGCAGCUUAAUUCCAUUUCCUCGUAUCCUAUCACUGGUCACCAGAGAAAGGAGAUCAGCACAUCCCCCUCUACUUGAGGAAGCUGUAGUCUCUGAUGGGGUCACACCUCAGCCUUCUCUACUCCAAGCUGAACAAACUAAGUUACCUCAGUUGCUCCUUGAGAUCUUUCACCAGUUGGUGAAAGACACACGCUAAUAGUUUGAUGUCCUUCUCAUACCGAGGUGCCCAAAACUGUACACAGUACUCCAGGUGAGACGUCACCAGUGCAGUAUAGAUUGGGAUAAUCACCUCCCUUGAUCAGCUAGCUAUGCUGUUCCUGAUGCACUUCAGGACGUGGCUUACCCUUUUGGCUGCCAAGGCAUACUGUUGACUCAUAUUCAACUUGCCACCCACUCAGGCCCCCGUAUUUCUUUCCAUGGGGCUGCUCUCCAUCCUCUUGUCCCUCAGUUUGUACAUAAACCCAGGAUUAUUCCAUCCCAUGUGGUGAAUCUGCCACUUGCUCUUGUUAAAUUUCAUGAGGUUGGUGAUUGCCCAACUCUCUAAUCUAUCCAGACCUCUCUGUAAGACCUCUCUACCCUCAAUGGAGGCCAAAGCUCCUCCUAAUUUAGUGUCAUCAGCAAACUUACUUGAUGUACUUUUGAUUCCUGUCUCCAGAUCAUUUAUAAAAACAUUUACGAGAACUGGCCCUAAAAUUGAGCCCUGGGGAACCCCACUGCUGAUUGGCCACCAGCCUGAUGUAAUCCCAUUUACCAUAACUCUUUGAGCCUGACCCAUCAACUAGUUGCUCACCAAUUGCAUUAUGGACUUGUCUACCUUUGUGCUGGACAGUUUAUCCAGAAGCAUACUGUGAGAGGCAAUAUCAAAAUCUUUGCUAAAAUCCAAACCCACCACAUCUGCUGGCUUCCCUUCAUCAACCAAAUGAGUCACCUUGUCCUAAAAGGAGAUUAAGUUAAUUAAGCAGGACUUUCCUCUCAUGAACUUGUGCCGGCUAUGACCAGUGACUGCGUUGUCUCUCAAGUGUUUUUCAAUAAUCCCCAGAAUAAUCUUCUCUUCAUCAUUUCAGCAGGCACUGAAGUUAGACUGACAGACCUGUGAUUACUAGGGUAUUCUUUCUUACACUUCUUGACAGCUUCCAGUCAACUGGGACCUUUCCAGACUCCCAAGACCAUUGAAAAAUAAUGGAGAGAGAUCCCACUAUGGCACUGGCCAGUUCUUUCGGUACCCUGGCAUGAAUUCCUUUAGGACCUGUAGAUUUUUGUGCAUCCAGGUGGAGCAGCAAGUCUUUAAAACCUUCGGAGUUGGCUUGGAGUUUAUCAUUGCCCCAGUCAUGGUCUUCCAACACAAGGUCCAGGUGCCUCAGGGCCUGUUAUUAGUAUUGAAAACAGAGGCAAAGAAGGCAUAAAAAAUCUCUGCUUUGUCUACAUCCCUAUUUGUGAGGUGACCAACCUUAUCAAGUAAUGAACUAAUGUUAUCUCUAGUCUUCCUUUGCUGUUAAUAUAUUUUAAAAAGCCCUUUCUUUUGUCCUUCACAGCACUGACCAGCUUGAACUCAAAUCAAGAUUUGGCCACACGAAUUUUCUCCCUUCAGUGGUGAAAACUAUCGUAAAACCUUUGACAGACUUGAUGAAUGGCAUUUUUCUUAUCAAAGAUUUAGAUUUAUUGUUCUAAGCACUAUGAGUGCUUGGUAUACAUCUGCAGUUAAUAUUUCAAUUAACUCCUUUCUGGUGAAGUACAUUACAUGAAUCCUAAUUUAUGUAAAUACUAUCUACUGUUUGCUUGCUUAGCCACUUAUUGCACAAAACAGUCUUAUUAAACCAUAAUAUAAAGAAUUCCCAUAUUAACCUUACCCUUCUCCUCCCCACCUGGCCCCAAAUGAAGGACUUAACCAGAUUGAUUUAACAACUUCAAUCCAGUCUGGGGAAGCUACAUUAAUGAGGUGAAAAACAGUUAAGUCACGUAAGUAAUUCCCAAAGAAAAAUACCUAUUCUUAAUCUUGCAAGCAGUGCAUCAACAACUUUCAACAAAUAUCUUUGCUCUAAUGCUUUUGUCUAAUAAUUACAUUAUAGUGUAUAGUUCUCCAGAAAUUUUACAGAAAUGAAUUAUUAACUGUUUAAAAAGUAAACAUGUUUUUGAAAAACUAAAAACAACCUUAAUAUUGUCUGUGGUAACUUGAAAAAACUUGGGAUUUUCUAAAAGACCAUCAACUAUGCUAGAAUUCAUUUUGCAAAGAAUAAUUGAAUAUUCUGUCUACAUUAAAUAUAUGUUAUAUUAAUUAUUUGAGUGGGUUUAGUUUUCAUUUAUCUGGUUUGUACACAGACCACUAAAAAUAAGAUAAUGACAUGUAAUGACAUAAUAUCUAAGCUAAGUGAAUUUGCUACAUUUAUAAUGCUGGCAGUAUAAAUUCUAAUUAUAGAAUUAUAAGAACAUGCUAUUAAGAGUCAAAUAUGACAUAUUGUGUCGACAGGCUACUCUCUAAGAUUAUACUUAAUGGAUGCCUAUGGGAAUGUGGAAGAUUAGCAAGGUCGCAAAACCUGGAAAAUGCAUAUAUAAAGCAUAUUAUUAAAAGGAUUUUUUUUUUUUUUAAAGGAAUGAGAGUGAUGUAUUAUUGGAAAUGUAUUAUUGAAAUAUAUACUUGGAAGCUGUACGUUCAGUUAUAAGAGCGUUAUAAGUUAUAAUGUUAAAUUAUAAGAAUAUACUUAGUAUAAGAAUAUUUUGGUUCAUUAUGUUGUGUCUGUAAUUGCAAAAAAAGAAAAUGAUCCAACUUUUUGAUCAUGCCAAAGAUGAGCAGGUGAAUAGACAGCCACUAACAUUCCUUUGUCAAUAACUAUUCACACUCCGGCUAUUUUCUUUCAAAGCAUGAAGAUAUAAGAAUUGCAGAUGAGAAUUAGGAGAUGCCAUAUAGCUUCAUUUUAGCAAUUAUUUUGAUACUGCCUACAAUAUUUUUCCCAUAGGAUUGCUACCAGGUGAGCAAAAAAGCUGAUUGUAAAGAUGUAUAAAAAUAACAAUUAUUGAAGGUUUAUUGUGAAACCUGAAGAAUGGACUGAGCAGAAUUCUAAGGGGCUCUGUGAUGCCUGUAGUACUGUUCAGCAGUUUUAUUAACAGCCUGGCUGAUAGAAUGGAAAGUACACUGAUUAAAUUUACAGAUGACAUCAGCCUUCUGGAGUCUGUAAGCAUGUUGAAGUUGAAUUCAGAAUAAUUUUGAGAAACUGGAAAAAUGGUCAGAAAAAAAAAGAUGGAAUUCUACAAGGACAUCUGCAAGGUGGAAAUAAUCCACUGCAUGAAAUGAGGACAGAGAAUAAGAAGAAAUUGGGUUAUUUUAUCUAGACAAAAGGAGAAUGAAAGAUCAUGUGACAGCCUUUACAUAUAGAAGUUAUCUGCCAAGAGAAAGAGUUCUUUGGGAAGGAGUACUACAGAUCUGCUUGAUAUUGUGUGGAAAUCAGCUGGCUUUGACUAUUCUGAAUCUGGCUUCUAGUAUAAUAGUUUCAAAUGAAGGUCACAAGCUUUAACAAUGGAACAGUUCCUUCAUGCCCACUGUCCACUCACAGACUAUGGAAAUGGUCUUAGACAAAAAGCAAAUGCGAGUAAUUUUCACAUUUGUAUUCAAAAUGGGUCGGAAAGCGGCGGAGACAACUUGCAACAUCAACAGUGCAUUCAGCCCAGGAACUGCUAACAAAUGUACAGUGCGGUGAUGGUUCAAGAAGUUUCACAAUGGACAUGAGAGCCCUGAAGAUAAGGACUGUAGUGGCCAGCUAUUGGAAGUUGACAAUGAACAGUUGAGAGCAAUCAUGGAAGCUCAUGCUCUUACAAAUAUAGGAGAAGUUGCCAAAGAACUCAACGUCCACCAUUCUACAGUCAUUUGGCAUUUGAAGCUAAUUGGAAAGGUAAAAAAGCUCGAGAAGUGGGUGCUUCAUGAGCUGACCAAAAAUAAUAAAAAAAAAUAUUUUUAAGUACCAUCUUCUCUUACUUUACGCAACAGCAAUGAACCAUUUCUCAAUUGGAUUGUAACAUGUGACAAAAAAGUAGAUUUUAUACAACAACUGGCAAUGACCAGCUCAGUGGCUGGACUGAUAAUAAACUCCAAAGCACUUCCCAAAACCAAACUUGCAUCAAAAAGGUCAUGGUCACUGUUUGGUCGUCUGCUACUGGUCUGAUUGACUACAGCUUUCUGAAUCCCAGCGAAACCAUUACAUCUGAUUUUUAAACUACAGGAAUAAACAAACUUAUUUCUUGUUGGCAAAAAUGUGUUGAUUGUAAUGGUUCCUAUUUUGAUAAAUAGAUGUUUGAGCCUAGUUAUAAUGAUCGAAAAUUCAUGGUCCAAAACCACAAUUACUUUUGCACCAACCUAAUAUUUACAAAUGCUGCUAGAGAUCUCUUUUGUAACAACUAUUAGGCUACAAUAGCUAAAUAAACUGUCUGCUAUUAAUAAAAUAAAUUGUAAACUGGAUUCAUAAUUUUUGAGCAAAAUACGAACACAGUAGACAAUAUUUUCUAUUUUUUUGCAUAUGCUGUGCAAAGUAAGUAUAGACUACUUCUGUUCUGAUCUAGCAUCAUGUAUGAUCCACAUCACAUUCAGAUUGUGUUGAUGUAAAUAACUACAGGAUGUUCAGAGUUAUGAGAUCAACUUAAAACUGUUACUUAAAGGAAAAAUAAUUUAAAGAAAAGCUAUUUUCUUGAUAAGCUUUAUGACUAUUUCUGAAGAAGUGGUCACUGAAGAGUACUUGGUAUUCAGAUGCAAAAGCUGCAGCCAUUCUUGCAAACAUUAAUGGAUAAACCUUAAUUAUUUAGGUUUGGAGUAUGGGAGCUAGAGGUGCUUAUACAGAAAUAGUGCAAGAUCAGUAAUAAAAGUGUCGGGAGUUGCUGAAUCCAGUAGGAAUCCAGUAGGCAGCUGAGGCUGCCAUGGCUCCAGGUCCAGCCUGAGACUGAUUGUGUUCCCUAUAGACACCCAUGCACACAGUACGUACGCAUAUGGCUGGGCACACAGAUUAACACAACUGACACACUUAGCACUCACACAGACACAAACAGUAUCGAUGGCCUUAUCAUUUCCCUUCUCUAGACAAUCAGAAUGAAGGUCCCUUUAUCGGAAACACAUACCCAAAUCUACAAUGUGGAUCCCUUCAAUCUGCCCAGUAACUGACCUCUGGAUGCCAGCUGCUGACUCUUGCAUAUUGUGAGUCCACAAGACCCACAGUUCCACUCCAGUUUCAACUCCCCCUCAACCACAGACACACACACAUGCACAGCCAUGCACAGGUGCAAUAUGGAUCCACCAAAGGAAUUCUCCUAAGCAACCUGUAGUGUUUCAGUGGUGUUAUUUUCAAGAUUGAAACAGAAUUUCUGUUUCAGAGGUAGGAGAAAGGGUAUUGUAAAAAGCAUGAGAAAGACACAGUAAUACAAAGAGAAAAGAAUGGAGAAGUCAAGAUAGGACAGUAAGCAAAGGGAGUUCCUCAGGGUAUGUGGAAAUGAAGCAUACCACAGAGGAUUUAGCCUUGACCUUCACGCAAUCUAAUUGAUUGUAAGCAUUUUGCAG
Long non-coding RNA from Columba livia (rock pigeon), 13234 nucleotides. RefSeq lists it as uncharacterized. NCBI's taxonomy places the organism in Eukaryota, Metazoa, Chordata, Aves, Columbiformes, Columbidae. The transcript has 3 exons. The record is from RefSeq and is a predicted model, not a curated record.